Molecule: ribosomal RNA, 253 nt
Filed under: uncultured bacterium
Lineage: Bacteria
Description: partial 16S ribosomal RNA
Rfam family: Bacterial small subunit ribosomal RNA
Source: RNAcentral
UACGUAGGGUGCAAGCGUUGUCCGGAAUUAUUGGGCGUAAAGAGCUCGUAGGCGGUCAGUCGCGUCUGCUGUGAAAACUCGGGGCUUAACUCCGGGCCUGCAGUGGGUACGGGCUGACUAGAGUGCGGUAGGGGAGACUGGAAUUCCCGGUGUAGCGGUGAAAUGCGCAGAUAUCGGGAGGAACACCAAUUGCGAAGGCAGCUUGCUGGGACGAUACUGACGCUGAGGCGCGAAAGCGUGGGGAGCAAACAGG